Molecule: non-coding RNA, 109 nt
Organism: Coniosporium uncinatum
Lineage: Eukaryota; Fungi; Ascomycota; Dothideomycetes
Source: the annotation of a GenBank genome assembly
UCCGCGAUGGUCUAGUGGCUAGGAUACAUCGCUCUCAGCAUUCGUAUCGAUUAAGAAUUGGUACGAUUCUCGGUCCGAUGUGGCCGGGGUUCGAUUCCCCGUCGCGGAA